UACGGAGGGAGCUAGCGUUGUUCGGAAUCACUGGGCGUAAAGCGCACGUAGGCGGCUACUCAAGUCGGGGGUGAAAGCCCGGGGCUCAACCCCGGAACUGCCCUCGAAACUAGGUAGCUAGAAUCUUGGAGAGGCGAGUGGAAUUCCGAGUGUAGAGGUGAAAUUCGUAGAUAUUCGGAAGAACACCAGUGGCGAAGGCGACUCGCUGGACAAGUAUUGACGCUGAGGUGCGAAAGCGUGGGGAGCAAACAGGAUUAGAUACCCUAGUAGUCC
RNAcentral lists this ribosomal RNA (273 nucleotides) under uncultured prokaryote. RNAcentral's name for it is "partial 16S ribosomal RNA". It matches the Rfam family "Bacterial small subunit ribosomal RNA", at positions 524 to 796 of the family's 1533-position model. The record is from RNAcentral.